RNAcentral lists this ribosomal RNA (375 nucleotides) under uncultured bacterium. RNAcentral describes it as "bacterial SSU rRNA". It matches the Rfam family "Bacterial small subunit ribosomal RNA", at positions 523 to 898 of the family's 1533-position model. The record is from RNAcentral.
AUACGUAGGUGGCAAGCGUUAUCCGGAAUUAUUGGGCGUAAAGCGCGCGCAGGCGGUUUCUUAAGUCUGAUGUGAAAGCCCACGGCUCAACCGUGGAGGGUCAUUGGAAACUGGGAAGCUUGAGUGCAGAAGAGGAGAGUGGAAUUCCAUGUGUAGCGGUGAAAUGCGUAGAGAUAUGGAGGAACACCAGUGGCGAAGGCGACUCUCUGGUCUGCAACUGACGCUGAGGCGCGAAAGCGUGGGGAGCGAACAGGAUUAGAUACCCUGGUAGUCCACGCUGUAAACGACGAGUGCUAGGUGUCGGGGGGUCCAACCCUCGGUGCUGUCGCUAACGCACUAAGCACUCCGCCUGGGGAGUACGGUCGCAAGACUGAA